This is a long non-coding RNA of Triticum dicoccoides, 698 nucleotides long. RefSeq lists it as uncharacterized. The transcript is spliced from 6 exons. NCBI's taxonomy places the organism in Eukaryota, Viridiplantae, Streptophyta, Magnoliopsida, Poales, Poaceae. The record is from RefSeq and is a predicted model, not a curated record.
CUCACCGACGCCCCACAUGUCAAGAUCUCCGAGGGCGACUUCGGACACAUCCGUGACGACGUGCCCCACCUCGCUGACUACUACGUUCCGGUGACCCAUUGCAGUUCAGAGAUGGUUUAUAUGAAUUGUUUAUGAUCUAGGCCGCUACCAAACGCCUCUGGAGAGCAGUAUACUAUUUCUGCAUUUACCAACACAUAUGGAGUAUUGGUUCUCCUGAUCCUAACUUCACAUUAGAUGGCCACUCAAAAGGCGUGAACCGUGUUGAUUACUUCACCGGUGGUGAUCGACCAUUUUUUAUUACUGGAUCUGAUGAUCAGACUGCAAAGGUUUGAGAUUACCAAACCAAGAGAUGUGUUCAAACACUUGAAGGACAUGCACACAAUGUGUCUGCUGUCUGUUUCCAUCUAGAACUACCUAUUAUAAUUACUGGCUCAGAGGAUGGCACAGUUCGCUUGUGGCACUCUACAACCUACAGGCUUGAGAACACUCUUCAUUAUGGUCUUGAGCGAGUUUGGGCUUUAGGAUACAUGAAGGGGUCAAGAAGGGAAAAUUAUGAUAAAAAUUGGCCGUGAAGUUCCAGUUGCUAGCAUGGACAACAGUGAAAAAAUCCUAUGGGCAAAACAUAACGAAAUCCAAACUGUUAGUAUCAAGACUGUUGGUGCAGGCAAUGAGGUUCUUCUUCUUUGCCAUGUUAAAUG